This 501-nucleotide ribosomal RNA is filed under the name uncultured bacterium. RNAcentral describes it as "partial 16S ribosomal RNA". It matches the Rfam family "Bacterial small subunit ribosomal RNA", at positions 30 to 523 of the family's 1533-position model. The record is from RNAcentral.
AUUGAACGCUGGCGGCAGGCUUAACACAUGCAAGUCGAGCGGGGGGAGGUAGCUUGCUACCGGACCUAGCGGCGGACGGGUGAGUAAUGCUUAGGAAUCUGCCUAUUAGUGGGGGACAACAUCUCAAAAGGGAUGCUAAUACCGCAUACGUCCUACGGGAGAAAGCAGGGGAUCUUCGGACCUUGCGCUAAUAGAUGAGCCUAAGUCGGAUUAGCUAGUUGGUGGGGUAAAGGCUUACCAAGGCGACGAUCUGUAGCGGGUCUGAGAGGAUGAUCCGCCACACUGGGACUGAGACACGGCCCAGACUCCUACGGGAGGCAGCAGUGGGGAAUAUUGGACAAUGGGGGGAACCCUGAUCCAGCCAUGCCGCGUGUGUGAAGAAGGCCUUAUGGUUGUAAAGCACUUUAAGCGAGGAGGAGGCUACUUUAGUUAAUACCUAGAGAUAGUGGACGUUACUCGCAGAAUAAGCACCGGCUAACUCUGUGCCAGCCGCCGCGGUAA